GCUGGGUGCGGUGGCUCAUGCCUACAGUCCCAGCUACUCAGGAGGCUGAGGCGGGAGGAUCGCUUGAGUCCAGGAGUUCUGGGCUGUAGUGCGCUAUGCCAGUCGGGUGUCUGCACUAAGUUCGGCAUCAAUAUGGUGACUUCCGGGAGCAGGGGACCACCAGGUUGCCUAAGGAGGGGUGAACCGGCCCAGGUUGGAAACAGAACAGGUCAAAACUCCCAUGCUGAUCAGUAGUGGGAUCACACCUGUGAAUAGCCACUGCACUCCAGCUUGGGCAACAUAGUGAGACCCCAUCUCU
Molecule: signal recognition particle RNA, 298 nt
Filed under: Cebus imitator (Panamanian white-faced capuchin)
Lineage: Eukaryota; Metazoa; Chordata; Mammalia; Primates; Cebidae
Description: Metazoan signal recognition particle RNA (ENSCCAG00000000832.1)
Rfam family: Metazoan signal recognition particle RNA
About the family: The signal recognition particle (SRP) is a universally conserved ribonucleoprotein.
Source: RNAcentral